This 499-nucleotide ribosomal RNA is filed under the name uncultured bacterium. RNAcentral describes it as "partial 16S ribosomal RNA". It matches the Rfam family "Bacterial small subunit ribosomal RNA", at positions 28 to 507 of the family's 1533-position model. The record is from RNAcentral.
GACGAACGCUGGCGGCGUGCUUAACACAUGCAAGUCGAACGGGCCCGCUCUCUUUUUUGGGGGUGGGUUGAGUGGCGAACGGGUGAGUAUCACGUGAGUAACCUGCCCCCUGCUCCUGGAUAACUGCUUGAAAGGGCGGCUAAUACGGGGUGUGCCGGCUGGUCCGCAUGGGCCUGGUCGGGAUAGUUUCAUCUUCGGGUGUUUCGGUGGGGGAUGGGCUCGCGGCCUAUCAGCUUGGUGGUGGGGUGAUGGCCCACCAAGGCGGUGACGGGUAGCCGGCCUGAGAGGGUGGGCGGCCACGCUGGGACUGAGACACGGCCCAGACUCCUGCGGGAGGCAGCAGUGGGGGGUAUUGCACAAUGGGCGGAAGCCUGAUGCAGCGACGCCGCGUGAGGGAUGGAGGCCUUCGGGUUGUGAACCUCUUUCUCCGGUGGUGAAGGCCCUGUCCGUUGCGGCGGGGUUGACGGUAGCCGGGUAUGAAGCGCCGGCUAACUACGUG